UUUUUUUUUUUUUUUUUUUUUUUUUUCCAUUU
This 32-nucleotide non-coding RNA is filed under the name Prorocentrum micans. Lineage: Eukaryota; Dinophyceae; Prorocentrales; Prorocentraceae. The record is from RNAcentral.